This 205-nucleotide ribosomal RNA is filed under the name uncultured bacterium. RNAcentral's name for it is "partial 16S ribosomal RNA". It matches the Rfam family "Bacterial small subunit ribosomal RNA", at positions 524 to 727 of the family's 1533-position model. The record is from RNAcentral.
UACGAAGGGUGCAAGCGUUACUCGGAAUUACUGGGCGUAAAGCGUGCGUAGGCGGUCUGUUAAGACCGAUGUGAAAUCCCCGGGCUUAACCUGGGAACUGCAUUGGUGACUGGCAGGCUUUGAGUGUGGCAGAGGGGGUAGAAGUUCCACGUGUAGCAGUGAAAUGCGUAGAGAUGUGGAGGAAUACCGAUGGCGAAGGCAGCCC